RNAcentral lists this long non-coding RNA (1196 nucleotides) under Ornithorhynchus anatinus (platypus). RNAcentral's name for it is "lncRNA (ENSOANG00000048268.1)". The record is from RNAcentral. Lineage: Eukaryota; Metazoa; Chordata; Mammalia; Monotremata; Ornithorhynchidae.
AGUCUAGUCAGCUCUGGAUUUUGGUUUCUGAUGACAAUCUUUUUUUACCUUUCCUUUCUUUUAGCCGAUUGAAUUGCUUUCAAAGCAACUCUACACUGCGAGACCUGGUGAAGGAGCUGAGAGGUGGGGCAGUUGCUUAGAACAGGCAAGAGUCUAUGAUCGCAUAAAGUUCAACUGUCUUCUGCUCUGGCAGUGACUCUGGGAGGCAGAGCCAUGUUUGUGAUGGGAAAGUCGAGGUUCUCAAAGGGAAGUGGCUUGGAAAACUUGACUUGGGAUCGAAAUCCACAGAAAAGUCCUUUCAAACAAUGAAAUCCCCAACCAAACCCAGGAAGAGAAAUCAACUGGAUUUCCUGUGCUCACAGUGGGGUCCUUAUAAGAUUCCUUGAAGUCUUUGCUCAAGUAGGAUCCAGCCAUUUAUUCAGGACUGGGCAGCCGUGGGCACCUGCUACUGUACCAGGGCCUUUAGAGGAUGUGUGGAAGACACGAUACUGCCGUGAUCGAAGAAAGAGAAGGACCAUCCUGCCCUUUUCAGAGAUGACAGGGGCUGGAAGUGGAUCGGUUUUCUUCGGGCUUCUGCACCUCCUGGCAAGCCCCCACCAAGUAUGGGAGGGGGCAGAAGUCGCCGAGCCCCUAGUUCGAUUAAAUGAGCCAUUUGCAAUAUAAAGUGACCCCUAGACGACAUCUGGUGGUGCCUAUCAACAGAUCUACCUCAUAACCAAAGCCCUCAGGGACAUCUUCUGUUUUCCCUGGCCCCAAUCCACAGCAAGGUUGCCAGAAGUCCUCUUCAGCCCUAACGACGGUGCCCGGCACAUAGUGAGCACUGAACAAAGACCAUAAAACACAAAAAUUAACCAAAGACGGAUUACAGCGCCGGUCUAGGAGCUGCAGGACGUGGGUUCGAGUUUGAGCUGUGUCACUAACCUGCCGUGCGACCGUGGGUAAGUCACUUGCUUCUCUGUACCUCAGUUUCCCCAUCUUUAAAAUGGGGAUAGUAAUACCUGCCUUCUCUCCCUACCCCUCAAGAGUUGCGGUGAGGAUGGAAAUGAACUAAAUGCGGGAGAACUUUGGCAAUAAAAGUGCUAUAGAGAAUUGGGGCCCACUCGUCUGCUGUGUGAUUGCUUGUCUGCUGAGUAACCUUGGGCAAGCCACUUCCCUUCUCUGAGCUUCAGUUAUCUCUUCUGUAUAAUGGCCUCAUU